RNAcentral lists this unclassified non-coding RNA (338 nucleotides) under soil metagenome. RNAcentral's name for it is "partial contains 5.8S ribosomal RNA, internal transcribed spacer 2, and large subunit ribosomal RNA". The stretch from base 1 to 120 matches the Rfam family "5.8S ribosomal RNA", at positions 35 to 154 of the family's 154-position model. The record is from RNAcentral.
GAUGAAGAACGUAGUGAAAUGCGAUAAGUAAUGUGAAUUGCAGAAUUCAGUGAAUCAUCAAAUCUUUGAACGCACAUUGCGCCCGGUAGUAUUCUGCCGGGCAUGCCUGUUCGAGCGUCAUUUCAACCAUCAAGCCCCAGCGCUUGUGUUGGGGGCCUGCGGCUGCCGCAGCCCCCUAAAAGCAGUGGCGGGCUCGCUAUCACACCGAGUGCAGUAGUUCAUCUUCUCUCCGGUCUUGUGAGGCGGGUUCCGGCCGUGAAACACCCCACUACAUUCAAGGUUGACCUCGGAUCAGGUAGGAAUACCCGCUGAACUUAAGCAUAUCAAUAAGCGGAGGA